CAGAAGCGUAUAUUAAUGUUGUUGCAGUUAAAACGCUCGUAGUUGGAUUUUGGAGGUGGGUAUGAGCUCUGUCCGCCUGAAGGCGAGUACGGACUCUCCCUCUCUGUAUUUGGUAACAGGACAGCGGGGCCCUUAACUGGGUGGCCGCUUGGGUGGAGGGCAACCGAGACCCGGACGAGGCGGGCGCAGCGGGCAGGGUGGAGACAUCCGGUUCGGGCGUGUGUCGCGUGGUGCUUUACCUCGUUUACUUUGAAAAAAAUAGAGUGCUCAAAGCAGUUCGUAAGAACAUUGAAUAAUUCAGCAUGGGAUAAUAGAACAUGAGAUCGAGCUCAUUUUGUUGGUAUUUUGAGUUUGAACUAAUGAUUAAAAGGGACAGUCGGGGUGGUUUGUAUUGAAAAGCUAGAGGUGAAAUUCUUGGAUUUUUUCAAGACAAACUACUGCGAAAGCAAUCCACUAGGAUGUACCCAUUAA
Molecule: ribosomal RNA, 471 nt
Filed under: uncultured eukaryote
Lineage: Eukaryota
Description: partial 18S ribosomal RNA
Rfam family: Eukaryotic small subunit ribosomal RNA
Source: RNAcentral